RNAcentral lists this ribosomal RNA (504 nucleotides) under uncultured bacterium. Its description in RNAcentral is "partial 16S ribosomal RNA". It matches the Rfam family "Bacterial small subunit ribosomal RNA", at positions 28 to 523 of the family's 1533-position model. The record is from RNAcentral.
GAUAAACGCUAGCGGCAGGCUUAACACAUGCAAGUCGAGGGGCAGCAUAGAUUGUAGCAAUACAAUUGGUGGCGACCGGCGCACGGGUGCGUAACGCGUAUGCAACCUACCCGUCACAGGGGGAUAAUCCGGAGAAAUCUGGCCUAAUACCCCAUAACAUAUGGAUCGGCAUCGGUUCAUGUUGAAAUUUUCGGAGGUGACGGAUGGGCAUGCGUAGCAUUAGCUUGGUGGUGAGGUAACGGCUCACCAAGGCGACGAUGGUUAGGGGGACUGAGGGGUGUUCCCCCCACACUGGAAAUGAGACACGGACCAGACUGCUACGGGAGGCAGCAUUGAGGAAUAUUGUUCAAUGGGCGCAAGCCUGAACCAGCCAUGCCGCGUGCAGGAUGACGGCUCUAUGAGUUGUAAACUGCUUUUGUACGAGGGUAAAGUGGGUUACGUUUAACCUUUUGAAAGUAUCGUACGAAUAAGGAUCGGCUAACUCCGUGCCAGCCGCCGCCGUAA